GUACACGCUGUGACUAGCAUAUCAAUAAGCGGAGGAAAAGAAACUAACAAGGAUUCCCCUAGUAACGGCGAGUGAAGCGGGAAGAGCUCAAAUUUGAAAUCUUAAAGGGUUUCCCCUUACGAAUUGUAGUUUAAAGAAGUGUUUUCUGUUGAGGUUUUGGUAAAAGUUCUUUGGAAUAGGACAUCAUAGAGGGUGAGAAUCCCGUAUUUGACCUUUACUUUCAACUUUGUGAUACACUUUCAAAGAGUCGGAUUGUUUGGGAAUGCAGUCCAAAAUGGGUGGUAAAUUUCAUCUAAAGCUAAAUAUUGGCGAGAGACCGAUAGCGAACAAGUACCGUGAGGGAAAGAUGAAAAGAACUUUGAAAAGAGAGUUAAACAGUUACGUGAAAUUGUCAAAAGGGAAGCGUUUGACACCAGUGUUGUUUUUCUGAAAAUCAAUUAAAGAACUGUUUAUGCUAAGCUGUUUAGACUUUAUCAGCUAUCUGUUUAGUUUUGAGCUUUUCUUUAAUGCACUUUUCAGUUAACAAGUCAACAUCGAUUUCUUUUGCUGUAAAAAAGCUUGAGGAAGGUGGCUUGAGAUUCGUCUUAAGUGUUUAUAGCCUCUUGCCUAUGCAGUCGGAGAGAUUGAGGUCUGCAGCGUAGAUCCUUCGGGGCUAAAUGCAUUUGUGCUAAGUUAUAGCAUUUUAUAGACAACUUGUUGACUAUGAUUUGUCUUGUAGCUUACUCGCUUAUGUUAUUUUACCUACGCUUAGGAUGUUGAUAUGCAUGACUGAUAU
This 775-nucleotide ribosomal RNA is filed under the name uncultured Neocallimastigales. RNAcentral describes it as "partial large subunit ribosomal RNA". It matches the Rfam family "Eukaryotic large subunit ribosomal RNA", at positions 22 to 641 of the family's 3401-position model. Lineage: Eukaryota; Fungi; Neocallimastigomycota; Neocallimastigomycetes; Neocallimastigales. The record is from RNAcentral.